UACGUAGGUGACAAGCGUUGUCCGGAUUUACUGGGCGUAAAGAGCGCGCAGGCGGUCGUUCAAGUCGAGUGUGAAAGCCCCCGGCUCAACUGGGGAGGGUCACUCGAUACUGAUCGACUCGAAGGCAGGAGAGGGAAGUGGAAUUCCCGGUGUAGUGGUGAAAUGCGUAGAUAUCGGGAGGAACACCAGUGGCGAAGGCGGACUUCCUGGCCUGUUCUUGACGCUGAGGCGCGAAAGCUAGGGGAGCAAACGGG
This 254-nucleotide ribosomal RNA is filed under the name uncultured bacterium. Its description in RNAcentral is "partial 16S ribosomal RNA". It matches the Rfam family "Bacterial small subunit ribosomal RNA", at positions 524 to 776 of the family's 1533-position model. The record is from RNAcentral.